CCGGACAGCGCUGGCCCCCGGCCUCUUAAGUGAGAUGGGCGCACAACCCUAGAGUCGGACACGACUGGCCCGUACGGGCAAGGGUACCUUUACUCUUCAGCUGAUCUCUCUCUUCUUACACUGUGCACUUUACCCUUCGCAGAGAAGCAAAUGGGAUUUAAAGCCUACUGCUAAGUCAUGCUCAUUCAUUUACCAUGUGGUAGAACAGACUUCUAAAAUCCGUAAUGUGUCUUGACUGUUCAAGAAAUACGUAGCAGUCCCAUCCAUGAGUUAACGGAUACAAGUUAUAGAAAAAGGAAAAGGAAAAAGAAGAUAACAGAAGAAAAAAGAAACCAUCUUUCCAAGACACUUUUCUCAUAACCAACUGGACUUCCCCACAUCUCCCUCACCCUGCAUUCUUUACAAUAAAAAUAUCAGCAAAUUAU
Podarcis muralis (Common wall lizard) is the source of this 425-nucleotide non-coding RNA. Lineage: Eukaryota; Metazoa; Chordata; Lepidosauria; Squamata; Lacertidae. The record is from RefSeq and is a predicted model, not a curated record.